UACGAAGGGGGCUAGCGUUGCUCGGAAUUACUGGGCGUAAAGCGCACGUAGGCGGAUUGUUAAGUCGGGGGUGAAAUCCUGGAGCUCAACUCCAGAACUGCCUUUGAUACUGAGGAUCUUGAGUUCGGGAGAGGUGAGUGGAACUGCGAGUGUAGAGGUGAAAUUCGUAGAUAUUCGCAAGAACACCAGUGGCGAAGGCGGCUCACUGGCCCGAUACUGACGCUGAGGCACGAAAGCGUGGGGAGCAAACAGG
RNAcentral lists this ribosomal RNA (253 nucleotides) under uncultured bacterium. RNAcentral's name for it is "partial 16S ribosomal RNA". It matches the Rfam family "Bacterial small subunit ribosomal RNA", at positions 524 to 776 of the family's 1533-position model. The record is from RNAcentral.